Molecule: non-coding RNA, 294 nt
Filed under: Otolemur garnettii (small-eared galago)
Lineage: Eukaryota; Metazoa; Chordata; Mammalia; Primates; Galagidae
Source: RNAcentral
GCUGGAUGCAGUGGCACACAGCUGAAGCCCCAGUUACUUGGACAGCGGAGGCAAGAGGAUUGCUUGAGUACAGUUCUGGGCUGCAACACACUAUGCUGCCCAGAUGUUCACUCUAGGUUUGUCAUUAAUAUGGUUACCUCCUGGAAGCAGCAGACCAUAGGUUGCCUAAGGAGGGAUGAACCAGCCCACAUCAGAAACAGAGUGGGUCAAACCUCUUAUGUUGACCAGUAGUGGGAUCAUGCUUGUGGAUAGCCACUGCACUCUUAUCCUGGGAAACAUUGUGAGACCUGGUCU